UGUGGCUUAGUGGUAGAAUGCUUGCCUAGUAAGCAUGAGGCCUUGGGUUUGAUUCCUGGAGCCACAA
Molecule: transfer RNA, 67 nt
Filed under: Dipodomys ordii (Ord's kangaroo rat)
Lineage: Eukaryota; Metazoa; Chordata; Mammalia; Rodentia; Heteromyidae
Rfam family: tRNA
About the family: Transfer RNA (tRNA) molecules are approximately 80 nucleotides in length. Their secondary structure includes four short double-helical elements and three loops (D, anti-codon, and T loops). Further hydrogen bonds mediate the characteristic L-shaped molecular structure. tRNAs have two regions of fundamental functional importance: the anti-codon, which is responsible for specific mRNA codon recognition, and the 3' end, to which the tRNAs corresponding amino acid is attached (by aminoacyl-tRNA synthetases). tRNAs cope with the degeneracy of the genetic code in two manners: having more than one tRNA (with a specific anti-codon) for a particular amino acid; and 'wobble' base-pairing, i.e. permitting non-standard base-pairing at the 3rd anti-codon position.
Source: Rfam by way of RNAcentral